RNAcentral lists this ribosomal RNA (253 nucleotides) under uncultured bacterium. RNAcentral describes it as "partial 16S ribosomal RNA". It matches the Rfam family "Bacterial small subunit ribosomal RNA", at positions 524 to 776 of the family's 1533-position model. The record is from RNAcentral.
UACGUAGGGUGCAGGCGUUAAUCGGAAUUACUGGGCGUAAAGCGUGCGCAGGCGGUUGUGCAAGACAGGUGUGAAAUCCCCGGGCUUAACCUGGGAACUGCGCUUGUGACUGCAUAGCUGGAGUACGGCAGAGGGGGAUGGAAUUCCGCGUGUAGCAGUGAAAUGCGUAGAUAUGCGGAGGAACACCGAUGGCGAAGGCAGUCCCCUGGGCCUGUACUGACGCUCAUGCACGAAAGCGUGGGGAGCAAACAGG